UUUUUUGUGGAGAGUUUGAUCCUGGCUCAGGACGAACGCUGGCGGCGUGCUUAACACAUGCAAGUCGAACGGAAAGGCCCCUUCGGGGGUACUCGAGUGGCGAACGGGUGAGUAACACGUGGGUGAUCUACCUCGUACUCUGGGAUAAGCCUGGGAAACUGGGUCUAAUACUGGAUAGGACCACACUUUAGUGUGUGUGGUGGAAAGUUUUUUCGGUACGAGAUGAGCCCGCGGCCUAUCAGCUUGUUGGUGGGGUAAUGGCCUACCAAGGCGUCGACGGGUAGCCGGCCUGAGAGGGUGGACGGCCACAUUGGGACUGAGAUACGGCCCAGACUCCUACGGGAGGCAGCAGUGGGGAAUAUUGCACAAUGGGCGCAAGCCUGAUGCAGCGACGCCGCGUGAGGGAUGACGGCCUUCGGGUUGUAAACCUCUUUCGACAGGGACGAAGCUUUUGUGACGGUACCUGUAUAAGAAGCACCGGCUAACUACGUGCCAGCAGCCGCGGUAAUACGUAGGGUGCGAGCGUUGUCCGGAAUUACUGGGCGUAAAGAGCUCGUAGGUGGUUUGUCGCGUCGUCUGUGAAAUUCCGGGGCUUAACUCCGGGCGUGCAGGCGAUACGGGCAUAACUUGAGUGCUGUAGGGGAGACUGGAAUUCCUGGUGUAGCGGUGGAAUGCGCAGAUAUCAGGAGGAACACCGAUGGCGAAGGCAGGUCUCUGGGCAGUAACUGACGCUGAGGAGCGAAAGCAUGGGGAGCGAACAGGAUUAGAUACCCUGGUAGUCCAUGCCGUAAACGGUGGGCGCUAGGUGUGAGGGUCUUCCACGACUUUCGUGCCGUAGCUAACGCAUUAAGCGCCCCGCCUGGGGAGUACGGCCGCAAGGCUAAAACUCAAAGGAAUUGACGGGGGCCCGCACAAGCGGCGGAGCAUGUGGAUUAAUUCGAUGCAACGCGAAGAACCUUACCUGGGCUUGACAUAUACAAGAUCGGCGUAGAGAUACGUUUUCCCUUGUGGUUUGUAUACAGGUGGUGCAUGGUUGUCGUCAGCUCGUGUCGUGAGAUGUUGGGUUAAGUCCCGCAACGAGCGCAACCCUUGUCUUAUGUUGCCAGCACGUUAUGGUGGGGACUCAUGAGAGACUGCCGGGGUUAACUCGGAGGAAGGUGGGGAUGACGUCAAAUCAUCAUGCCCCUUAUGUCCAGGGCUUCACACAUGCUACAAUGGUCGGUACAACGCGUUGCGAGCCUGUGAGGGUGAGCGAAUCGCUGAAAGCCGGCCUCAGUUCGGAUUGGGGUCUGCAACUCGACCCCAUGAAGUCGGAGUCGCUAGUAAUCGCAGAUCAGCAACGCUGCGGUGAAUACGUUCCCGGGCCUUGUACACACCGCCCGUCACGUCAUGAAAGUUGGUAACACCCGAAGCCCAUGGCCCAACCAGUUUUUCUGGGGGGAGUGGUCGAAGGUGGGAUCGGCGAUUGGGACGAAGUCGUAACAAGGUAGCCGUACCGGAAGGUGCGGCUGGAUCACCUCCUUUCUAAGGAG
RNAcentral lists this ribosomal RNA (1532 nucleotides) under Corynebacterium ulcerans. RNAcentral's name for it is "bacterial SSU rRNA". It matches the Rfam family "Bacterial small subunit ribosomal RNA". The record is from RNAcentral. Lineage: Bacteria; Bacillati; Actinomycetota; Actinomycetes; Mycobacteriales; Corynebacteriaceae.